This 509-nucleotide ribosomal RNA is filed under the name uncultured soil bacterium. Its description in RNAcentral is "bacterial SSU rRNA". It matches the Rfam family "Bacterial small subunit ribosomal RNA", at positions 26 to 531 of the family's 1533-position model. The record is from RNAcentral.
AGAAUCAACGCUGGCGGCGUGCCUCAGACAUGCAAGUCGAACGAUUAAAGCUCUCUUCGGAGAGUGCAUAGAGUGGCGCACGGGUGAGUAACACGUAAGUAAUCUACCCUCGAGUGGGGAAUAACAUCGGGAAACCGAUGCUAAUACCGCAUAAUGCAGCGGCACCGCAAGGUGACAGUUGUUAAAGAUUUAUCGCUUGAGGAGGAGCUUGCGGCAGAUUAGCUAGUUGGUAAGGUAAUGGCUUACCAAGGCUACGAUCUGUAACCGGUCUUAGAGGACGGUCGGUCACACUGACACUGAAUAACGGGUCAGACUCCGUACGGGAGGCAGCAGUCGGAAUUUUGGGCAAGUGGGCGAAAGGCCUGACCCAGCAACGCCGCGUGAAGGAUGAAGUAUUCGGUAUAGUAAACUUCGAAAGAAUAAGGAAAGAAUAAAGUAGAACGGUAACUAUUUAAGUAAGGUUACCGACGUAACUACGUAGCCUAGACCGAGCCGGACGUAAUCGUAGA